Molecule: ribosomal RNA, 279 nt
Filed under: uncultured bacterium
Lineage: Bacteria
Description: partial 16S ribosomal RNA
Rfam family: Bacterial small subunit ribosomal RNA
Source: RNAcentral
UGCCAGCCGCCGCGGUAAUACGGAGGAUCCAAGCGUUAUCCGGAUUCAUUGGGUUUAAAGGGUCCGUAGGCGGGAAAUUAAGUCAGUGGUGAAAUCCUACAGCUCAACUGUAGAACUGCCAUUGAUACUGGUUUUCUUGAGUGUAGUUGAGGUGGGCGGAAUAUGUCAUGUAGCGGUGAAAUGCAUAGAUAUGACAUAGAACACCUAUUGCGAAGGCAGCUCACUAAGCUACUACUGACGCUGAGGGACGAAAGCGUGGGGAGCGAACAGGAUUAGAUA